AAUAAAUUGACCUAACAAUGAGCUAAAUGUGGCCAUCAGGGUCAAGUCCAUGGAGCCGCAUUUAAAGGUAGUCGUGUACUAUAAUUAUGUACACAUACAGGAAACAAGAACAUACUCAUAAAACUUAGAACACACAUCUAAUCACUAUUGCGACUACCAAAGUAUUGCAUUGAUCACUUAACGUCAAUUGAUGCUGAAGGCCAUUUUUGUGUUCAUUUCACCAGAAAAUCAAGAAAUGAAGAUGCCUGUAGAGCCCACCAGCUCCUCAGGGAAAAGAAAAAGUAUGGAAUUGACCCAGGGUGAGGCCAAGAGUUACAAAGGGGGAAACAAACUGUGUGCGACCCAGAGUGUGGCAUCCAGCUCCAAAGGUAAAACUAAAUCCAUUCAUUCCUUUAUUUUUUAUAUGCUUAAUCAGCACACAUUAAUAAAUAAUUAAAUAUUGACAGAAUACUAAGUACAGUUCAAUUUAGU
Molecule: long non-coding RNA, 471 nt
Organism: Gadus morhua (Atlantic cod)
Lineage: Eukaryota; Metazoa; Chordata; Actinopteri; Gadiformes; Gadidae
Source: Ensembl